UAAUUGAUGAAUGUAUUAUAGUUGGAUAUUUACAAAAUUCACAAUUUUAUCUUUCCAUUGAUAUGCAGAAGUCUAUGUAACAAGCCUCCAUUUUAUUUUUUUAUAGGGGUCAGUUUUGCUUGUCCCUCACCAAGUAACGUCCUGAUAACGUCAUACAUAAAACUGUGUUUUGCACCCUUAAGGAGUAGCAUUUGAUGACAUUUCCCACAUUUAUUUGCCUGGGUCAGUUUUGCUUGUCCCUCACCAAGUAACGUCCUGAUAACGUCAUACAUAAAACUGUGUUUUGCACCCUUAAGGAGUAGCAUUUGAUGACAUUUCCCACAUUUAUUUGCCUGGGUCAGUUUUGCUUGUCCCUCACCAAGUAACGUCCUGAUAACGUCAUACAUAAAACUGUGUUUUGCACCCUUAAGGAGUAGCAUUUGAUGACAUUUCCCACAUUUAUUUGCCUGGGUCAGUUUUGCUUGUCCCUCACCAAGUAACGUCCUGAUAACGUCAUACAUAAAACUGUGUUUUGCACCCUUAAGGAGUAGCAUUUGAUGACAUUUCCCACAUUUAUUUGCCUGGGUCAGUUUUGCUUGUCCCUCACCAAGUAACGUCCUGAUAACGUCAUACAUAAAACUGUGUUUUGCACCCUUAAGGAGUAGCAUUUGAUGACAUUUCCCACAUUUAUUUGCCUGUAAGUUCAUAGAAAAUUGCUUUAUUUGUUUUAAUUUAUGUAGUAAACCAUACAAUAUAAUCUCAGGUUGACACUGUGUAAGGCAUAAUGCCUAUUAGAUACAUGUUCCAUAGAAUUUAUACAUAUGAUAAGGAUUCAGGGGCUAAAGUUGUUAUUUUACAUUAUGACGCAACUGCAUUGUGACAUCAAAGUGUGACGUCAUGUCAAAAAUGGCAGCUUCGCA
Molecule: long non-coding RNA, 899 nt
Organism: Saccostrea cuccullata (small rock oyster)
Lineage: Eukaryota; Metazoa; Mollusca; Bivalvia; Ostreida; Ostreidae
Exons: 5
Source: RefSeq, a predicted model, not a curated record